Molecule: long non-coding RNA, 714 nt
Filed under: Salmo salar (Atlantic salmon)
Lineage: Eukaryota; Metazoa; Chordata; Actinopteri; Salmoniformes; Salmonidae
Description: lncRNA (ENSSSAG00000102892.1)
Source: RNAcentral
GAGACGACUCCAUGUUUUUCUUUCAGUCUAUGAAUGAAUAUAACGUCGCCCGGUUGGAAUAUUAUCGCUAUUUUACGAGAAAAAUAGCAUAAAAAUUUAUUUUAAACAGCGUUUGACAUGCUUCGAAGUACGGUAAUGGAAUAUUUUGAUUUUUUUUGUCACGAAAUGCACCGGCGCGUCACCCUUCGGAUAGUGACCUCAACGCAUGAACAAAACGGAGCUAUUUCAAUAUAACUAUGGAUUAUUUCGAACCAAAACAACAUUUGUUGUUGAAGUAAAAGUCCUGGGAGUGCAUUCUGACAAAGAACAGGAAAGAAGUGCCUUCUGAUAAAGAUAAUCAAAGGUCGCUGAGGCACUGUUCCAGCAGGUUUUCCAGCACUAUGGACUUCUGGAGGACAUCGUCUCCGAACAUGGCCCCCAGUUCACGCAGCGGGUAUGGUGAGCCUUCAUGGAGAAGCUGGGGGUCACGGUCAGCCUUACAUUCAGUGCUUCCUGGGUUACCAGCCGGCCCUGGCCCUGUGGACCCCGAGCUAGACCCUGUGGUGGACGAGUGGUUCCGGCGCGCAAAGGAGGUCUGGAGCCUUGCCCACGUGAGGCUCCAAUGCGCUGUCUGCCGACAGAAGGAGCAGGCGAACCGCUACCGCAGUGAGGUCCCGUGUUCCAAACCACCAGUAACCUCCUACUCCGCCUGCCCUGCUGGAAGCUGAGCCCCUG